This 401-nucleotide ribosomal RNA is filed under the name uncultured bacterium. RNAcentral describes it as "bacterial SSU rRNA". It matches the Rfam family "Bacterial small subunit ribosomal RNA", at positions 29 to 416 of the family's 1533-position model. The record is from RNAcentral.
AGCGAACGUUAGCGGCGCGCCUAACACAUGCAAGUCGCACGAGAAAGGGAGCAAUCCCCGGUACAGUGGCGCACGGGUGAGUAACACGUAGAUGACCUUCCCUGGAGUGGUGGAUAACCUGCCGAAAGGCGGGCUAAUACAGCAUGGGACCACAUGGUUUUGACCGAGUGGUGAAAGCGGGCCUCUGUUCACAAGCUCGCGCUCUGGGAUGGGUCUGCGUCCCAUCAGCUAGUUGGUGAGGUAAUGGCUCACCAAGGCAUCGACGGGUAGCUGGUCUGAGAGGAUGACCAGCCACACUGGAACUGAGACACGGUCCAGACUCCUACGGGAGGCAGCAGUGGGGGAAUCUUGCGCAAUGGGCGAAAGCCUGACGCAGCGACGCCGCGUGGGUGAUGAAGGCC